UCCUUCGGGAGGGGAUUAGUGGCGAACGGGUGAGUAACACGUGGGCAAUCUGCCCUUCACUCUGGGACAAGCCCUGGAAACGGGGUCUAAUACCGGAUACGACUACCGACCGCAUGGUCUGGUGGUGGAAAGCUCCGGCGGUGAAGGAUGAGCCCGCGGCCUAUCAGCUUGUUGGUGGGGUGAUGGCCUACCAAGGCGACGACGGGUAGCCGGCCUGAGAGGGCGACCGGCCACACUGGGACUGAGACACGGCCCAGACUCCUACGGGAGGCAGCAGUGGGGAAUAUUGCACAAUGGGCGAAAGCCUGAUGCAGCGACGCCGCGUGAGGGAUGACGGCCUUCGGGUUGUAAACCUCUUUCAGCAGGGAAGAAGCGAAAGUGACGGUACCUGCAGAAGAAGCGCCGGCUAACUACGUGCCAGCAGCCGCGGUAAUACGUAGGGCGCAAGCGUUGUCCGGAAUUAUUGGGCGUAAAGAGCUCGUAGGCGGCUUGUCACGUCGGAUGUGAAAGCCCGGGGCUUAACCCCGGGUCUGCAUUCGAUACGGGCAGGCUAGAGUUCGGUAGGGGAGAUCGGAAUUCCUGGUGUAGCGGUGAAAUGCGCAGAUAUCAGGAGGAACACCGGUGGCGAAGGCGGAUCUCUGGGCCGAUACUGACGCUGA
This 659-nucleotide ribosomal RNA is filed under the name Streptomyces tubercidicus. RNAcentral's name for it is "bacterial SSU rRNA". It matches the Rfam family "Bacterial small subunit ribosomal RNA", at positions 76 to 749 of the family's 1533-position model. Lineage: Bacteria; Bacillati; Actinomycetota; Actinomycetes; Kitasatosporales; Streptomycetaceae. The record is from RNAcentral.